UACGGAGGAUGCAAGCGUUAUCCGGAUUCAUUGGGUUUAAAGGGUGCGCAGGCGGAAUGAUAAGUCAGUGGUGAAAUCCUACAGCUUAACUGUAGAACUGCCAUUGAUACUAUCGUUCUUGAGUACAUUUGAAGUGGGCGGAAUGUGUCAUGUAGCGGUGAAAUGCUUAGAUAUGACACAGAACACCGAUCGCGAAGGCAGCUCACUAAGUUGUAACUGACGCUCAGGCACGAAAGCGUGGGGAUCAAACAGGAUUAGAUACCCUGGUAGUCCACGCCGUAAACGAUGAUUACUCGAUGUUGGCGAUACACUGUCAGCGUCUAAGCGAAAGCAUUAAGUAAUCCACCUGGGGAGUACGGCCGCAAGGUUG
RNAcentral lists this ribosomal RNA (370 nucleotides) under uncultured prokaryote. RNAcentral describes it as "bacterial SSU rRNA". It matches the Rfam family "Bacterial small subunit ribosomal RNA", at positions 524 to 896 of the family's 1533-position model. The record is from RNAcentral.